Molecule: ribosomal RNA, 590 nt
Filed under: Vibrio vulnificus
Lineage: Bacteria; Pseudomonadati; Pseudomonadota; Gammaproteobacteria; Vibrionales; Vibrionaceae
Description: partial 23S ribosomal RNA
Rfam family: Bacterial large subunit ribosomal RNA
Source: RNAcentral
GUUGUAUGGUUAAGUGACUAAGCGUACACGGUGGAUGCCUUGGCAGUCAGAGGCGAUGAAGGACGUAGUAACUUGCGAUAAGCGUAGAUGAGGCAGUAACAGCCACUUGAGUCUACGAUUUCCGAAUGGGGAAACCCACUGGCAUAAGCCAGUAUCAUUGAGUGAAUACAUAGCUCAAUGAAGCGAACCGGGAGAACUGAAACAUCUAAGUACCCCGAGGAAAAGAAAUCAACCGAGAUUCCGAAAGUAGCGGCGAGCGAAAUUGGAUUAGCCCUUAAGCUUUACAUGUGUUAGACGAACGGUCUGGAAAGUCCGACGAUACAGGGUGAUAGUCCCGUAGUUGACGAUGCAUGUUCAGUGAAAUCGAGUAGGGCGGGACACGUGUUAUCCUGUCUGAAUAUGGGGGGACCAUCCUCCAAGGCUAAAUACUCCUGACUGACCGAUAGUGAACCAGUACCGUGAGGGAAAGGCGAAAAGAACCCCUGUGAGGGGAGUGAAAUAGAACCUGAAACCGUGUACGUACAAGCAGUAGGAGCACCUUCGUGGUGUGACUGCGUACCUUUUGUAUAAUGGGUCAGCGACUUAUAUUC